GACGUAGGGCGCGAGCGUUGUCCGGAUUUAUUGGGCGUAAAGAGCUCGUAGGCGGCUCAGUAAGUCAGGUGUGAAACCUCCAGGCUCAACCUGGAGACGCCACCUGAUACUGCUGUGGCUAGAGUCCGGUAGGGGAGCGUGGAAUUCCUGGUGUAGCGGUGAAAUGCGCAGAUAUCAGGAGGAACACCAGCGGCGAAGGCGGCGCUCUGGGCCGGAACUGACGCUGAGGAGCGAAAGCGUGGGUAGCAAACAGG
Molecule: ribosomal RNA, 254 nt
Filed under: uncultured bacterium
Lineage: Bacteria
Description: partial 16S ribosomal RNA
Rfam family: Bacterial small subunit ribosomal RNA
Source: RNAcentral